Labeo rohita (rohu) is the source of this 933-nucleotide non-coding RNA. NCBI's taxonomy places the organism in Eukaryota, Metazoa, Chordata, Actinopteri, Cypriniformes, Cyprinidae. The record is from the annotation of a RefSeq genome assembly.
UAAGGAACGUUUCCUUUAGUGUCCGUCAUCAGUAGAUCCAUGUGUUCAUGUUCAGAGUGACUUUAUGUGUUUCAUUCACUGUGAUUCACUACAGCAGGAUUCACCACAGUCACUGACACCUGCAGAAUAACAACAGCCACAUAUGAGAUUGUGUUUCAAAGCACUUUAAUACACAGCAGUCAAACACAACUAACAUGAAGACUAAAACAGUGUUUGUGUUUGAAUCUGAAUCAUUUCUCCAUGAAUUAAAUGUGUAAAGGACACAGUCAGCUGAGCUCCAGUGAGUGUUUCACUUCUGUUUGUGUCUCUUCACAGACUGAGGAGGUUUUUGUACGACUGAACAUAUGAAAUGUAUCACUGUGAUAUUUGGACAAGGAACAAAACUCAUUGUGACUGAUGCUGCUGCUGCUGCUCCUGUGCUGAACAUCCUCCGUCCAUCCAGAGAAGAGCUGAGCUCCAGUAAAGUCACUCUGGUGUGUCUGAUCAAUCACAUGUCUGGGGCUUUGGCUGAUGUGCGUUGGCUUGUGAACGGGAACUCAGUUACUGAAGGCGUCUUCACUGGAUCUGCUGAACAGCAGCCUGAUAAGAAAUUCAAGAUGAGCAGUUCUUUAACCAUUGAGAGAUCAGAGUGGGACAAAGACACACAGCUGACAUGUGAAGCAACUACUGCCUCAAAAACCACCAGCAAAAGCAUCAAGAAAUCUGACUGCAGCGACUGAACACAAAGAAUUUAAAGAGUUGUUUGAUUGUUUUAUGAUAACACAUAGUAUUAUUUCCUGGCAUGGUGUAAUAGGAAUCAUGAAACUAUUCAAAUUAGUCAAACAAUGCAACUUAGUAGCUUGAACUGUGUCAUUUUCUGCAGAAAAUAUUUUGGAUUUAAUGCUAAUGUAUGAUAAUUUACAACCUGUUUAAUAAACUGCAUUUAAAAAAACA